RNAcentral lists this ribosomal RNA (307 nucleotides) under uncultured Glomus. RNAcentral's name for it is "SSU rRNA". It matches the Rfam family "Eukaryotic small subunit ribosomal RNA", at positions 569 to 877 of the family's 1831-position model. Lineage: Eukaryota; Fungi; Glomeromycota; Glomeromycetes; Glomerales; Glomeraceae. The record is from RNAcentral.
AGCAGCCGCGGUAAUUCCAGCUCCAAUAGCGUAUAUUAAAAGUUGUUGCAGUUAAAAAGACUCGUAGCUGAAUUUCGGGGUCAGUAGGUUGGUCGUGCCACUGGUAUGUACUGGUCUCACUGAUUCCUCCUUCCUGAUGAGCUGUAAUGCCAUUAAUUUGGUGUUGCAGGGAAUCUGGACUAGUUACUUUGAAAAAUUAGAGUGUUUAAAGCAGGCUAACGCUUGAAUACAUUAGCAUGGAAUAAUGAAAUAGGACGUUCGAUUCCUAUUUUGUUGGUUUCUAGGAUUGACGUAAUGAUUAAUAGGG